UACCAGCUCUCCGAGUGGUGUGGAUAUUUAUUGGGCCUACAGCAUUCGUAGCCGGCUAAGUGAAUCCUCCGUUAAAUCCAACGAUUUAAUCGUUGGGCUGCGUGGGACACUGCUUGGCUAGGAGGCGGGAGAGGCCGACGGUAUUCUUGGGGUAGGGGUGAAAUCCUAUAAUCCCGAGAGGACCACCAGUGGCGAAGGCUGUCGGCUAGAACGCGCUCGACGGUGAGGGAUGAAAGCUGGGGUAGCGAACCGAAUUAGAUACCCGGGUAGUCCCAGCCGUAAACUAUGCAGGCUAGGUGUUAGAGCGGCUACGUGCCGCUUUAGUGCCGCAGGGAAGCCGUUAAAGCCUGCCGCCUGGGGAGUACGGCUGCAAGGCUAGAAACUUAAAGGAAUUGGCGGGGAGCACCACAAGGGUGAAGCUUGCGGUUU
RNAcentral lists this ribosomal RNA (429 nucleotides) under uncultured archaeon. Its description in RNAcentral is "bacterial SSU rRNA". It matches the Rfam family "Archaeal small subunit ribosomal RNA", at positions 474 to 903 of the family's 1478-position model. The record is from RNAcentral.